RNAcentral lists this ribosomal RNA (553 nucleotides) under uncultured bacterium. Its description in RNAcentral is "bacterial SSU rRNA". It matches the Rfam family "Bacterial small subunit ribosomal RNA", at positions 472 to 1023 of the family's 1533-position model. The record is from RNAcentral.
ACGGUACCUGCAGAAUAAGCACCGGCUAACUCUGUGCCAGCAGCCGCGGUAAUACAGAGGGUGCAAGCGUUAUUCGGAAUUACUGGGCGUAAAGAGCGCGUAGGCUGUUUGAUAAGUCUGAUGUGAAAGCCCUGGACUCAAUCCAGGAAGUGCAUCGGAUACUGUCAGACUAGAGUAUAGGAGAGGACAACGGAAUUCCUGGUGUAGAGGUGAAAUUCGUAGAUAUCAGGAGGAACAACAGUGGCGAAGGCGGUUGUCUGGACUAUAACUGACGCUGAGGCGCGAAAGUGUGGGGAGCAAACAGGAUUAGAUACCCUGGUAGUCCACACCGUAAACGAUGGAUACUAGAUGUCGGGGGUUCUUGUCCCCUCGGUAUCGUAGCUAACGUGUUAAGUAUCCCGCCUGGGAAGUACGGCCGCAAGGUUAAAACUCAAAGAAAUUGACGGGGGCCCGCACAAGCGGUGGAGUAUGUGGUUUAAUUCGAAGCAACGCGCAGAACCUUACCUAGGCUUGACAUCCGACGCUACCCUAUGAAAGUAGGGGUUCCCUUCGG